CAUGCCGCGUGCAGGAAGACGGCCCUAUGGGUUGUAAACUGCUUUUAUACAGGAAGGAACACUCCCUCGUGAGGGAGCUUGACGGUACUGUAGGAAUAAGGAUCGGCUAACUCCGUGCCAGCAGCCGCGGUAAUACGGAGGAUCCAAGCGUUAUCCGGAAUCAUUGGGUUUAAAGGGUCCGUAGGCGGGACAAUAAGUCAGCGGUGAAAGUCUGUGGCUCAACCAUAGAAUUGCCAUUGAUACUGUUGUUCUUGAGUGUUUAUGAAGUGGUUAGAAUAUGUAGUGUAGCGGUGAAAUGCUUAGAUAUUACAUGGAAUACCGAUUGCGAAGGCAGAUCACUAAUAAAAUACUGACGCUGAUGGACGAAAGCGUAGGUAGCGAACAGGAUUAGAUACCCUGGUAGUCUACGCCGUAAACGAUGGUUACUAGCUGUUCGGAAGCAAUUCUGAGUGGCUAAGCGAAAGUGAUAAGUAACCCACCUGGGGAGUACGUUCGCAAGAAUGAAACUCAAAGGAAUUGACGGGGGGCCCGC
RNAcentral lists this ribosomal RNA (532 nucleotides) under uncultured bacterium. Its description in RNAcentral is "bacterial SSU rRNA". It matches the Rfam family "Bacterial small subunit ribosomal RNA", at positions 393 to 924 of the family's 1533-position model. The record is from RNAcentral.